Molecule: long non-coding RNA, 1798 nt
Filed under: Pongo abelii (Sumatran orangutan)
Lineage: Eukaryota; Metazoa; Chordata; Mammalia; Primates; Hominidae
Description: lncRNA (ENSPPYG00000037196.1)
Source: RNAcentral
AUCAUUUCAGUGAACGUCGCUCCAGUCUUUGUCGGGGCCACACUCGGGAUGUAAAUUUAGGAUUCUCACUGAAGUGGCGGGACCCUGAGAGGCUUUUUCCUGACCCCUUAGAUGUGGGUUUUCCUGCAGGCGGCGGAGCCCGUUUCCAUCAGAACCGCCCAGAGGCGGGCGCUGCCUUCCUAGGGUGGCGGAGCAGCUGGUAGCCUUUUCGGAUCCUGGAAUCCGUGGGCGGCCCGUGGAAGGGGCUGAGGCGCAUUUCCCUACUCACCUGGCUCCAAAUCCACCGCGGUGCUGUUUCAAGCGAGUCAGAUUCCAGAUCGCGCUCCACCCCGGACUCGGAAUUCCUGCCCCGCAGACCUUACAGUGGUGCCUAAAGUCUGCGAGGAGGAAGUCGCCUGUGUGCUCCGGUGUCCAGAGGCCUAAGCGGCUGCCCUCCCCCCACCCCAGCUAUGAGAUGCUCAAGGAGGAGCAUGAGGUGGCUGUACUGGGGGUGCCCCACCACCCUGCUCCCCCAAUGUCCACCGUGAUCCACAUCUGCAGCGAGACCUCCGUGCCUGACUAUGUUGUCUGGUCCCUGUUCAACACCCUCUUCAUGAACCCCUGCUGCCUGGGCUUCAUAGCAUUCGCUUACUCUGUGAAGUCUAGGGAGAAGAAGAUGGUUGGCGACCUGACCAGGGCCCAGUCCUAUGCCUCCACCGCCAAGUGCCUGAACAUCUGAGCCCUGAUUCUGUGCAUCAUCAUGACCAUUCUGCUCAUUAUCAUCAUCCUAUGACCGCUUAGAGUUGUAAGCCUUCAAGGGCUGGAGUUUCUUUCGGGAGUCGGCUCUUAAGACACGAGUCUGCCAACGCUUCCGGCUGAAUAAGAAACCUCUUCCUUCUUUAAUCCGGUGUCUGAGGAGUUUUGUCUGCGACUCUUCGUGCUACAUUUCUUGGUUCCCUGACCAGGAAGAGAGGUGAUCGAGUGUGGAUCAAGGACUGGAACGUAGCCUCUUUGUGUCCACGGUGGAAAGGACCCCAGACUGUCAUCCUGACCACUCCCACUGCUGUGAAGGUAGAGGGAAUCGCAUCCUGGAUCCACCACAGCCAUGUAAAACCUGCAACGCCUGAAACCUGGGAGGCAAGACCAAGCCCAGACAACCCUUGCAGAGUGACCCUGAAGAAGACGACAAGCCCUGCUCCAGUCACACCCAGAAGCUGACUGGUCCACGCACGGCCGAAGCAUGAGGAAGCUCAUCGUGGGAUUCAUUUUUCUUAAAUUUUGGACUUAUACAGUAAGGGCUUCAACUGACCUUACUCAAACUGGGGACUGUUCCUAGUGUAUUCAUCAGGUCACCGAGGUAGGACAGCAAAUUAAAACAAUGUUUCUGUUCUAUAGUUAUUAUGAAUGUAUGGGAACAUUAAAAGAAACUUGUUUGUAUAAUGCCACUCAGUACAAGGAAUGUAGCCCGGGAACUGACCAACCUGAUGUAUGUUAUAACCCAUCUGAGCCCCCUGCAACCACCGUUUUUGAAAUAAGAAUAAGAACUGGCCUUUUCCUAGGUGAUACAAGUAAAAUAAUAGCUAGAACAGAAGAAAAAGGAAUCCCCAAACAAAUAAAUUUAAGAUUUGAUGCUUGUGCAGCCAUUAAGAGUAAAAAGCUAGGAAGAGGAUGUGGUUCUCUUAACUGGGAAAGGAGCUACAGAGUAGAAAAUAAUAUAUUUGUCAUGAGUCAGGGGUUUGUGAAAAUUGUGCCUGUUGGCCAUGUGUUAUUUGGGCUACUUGAAAAAAGAACAAAAAAGACCCGGUUUAUCUUCAGAAGG